GCAUAAUGCAUCCUCAGACAGAGCUUGUUGAAUAGCUUGUUCAGGUCCACUCUGCGGGAAGCCAUCUCCGGUGAGAUGUUCGGCGUCUCCGAACUUCUCCAGGAUCCAGCGGCUAUCGGAACCGGAGACAUGGACAACACUGAUUGAGGUGUUAGGAAUUUUCCUGCCAACCGAGAUCGUUGGAUCGGCAUGCCUGCAGAUUUCCUCUAUGACUGCCUCAUGAGAGACGACGACCACCCGCUCACCUGUUGAUGCAACACACGACAGCUUGAAAUUCACCACCGGGUACAAGUUUUGACCAUACAGCAGAGAGCACCAGAAAUUACUAUGUGGAUCGGUGCUUACCCUUGUGCUUCUCGGCGAUUGCAUUCAAGCGGGAAACACAGCGCUCGGAAAGUUGAUCAAGACUCUCCCCACCACCCUGUCCAAAAGGAGAUGACUAGUGAGUAAUAUAUAGCUUUUACUUCAACUAAGACUAAUUAAGUACAACUUCGAGAUCAGAGGAGAAUGGAAAUUAGUUACAGGUAUUUCUUGGUCUCUGCCACCACGUGCGAAAGCCUUGUAAGCUUCAGAUCUCUUGGCAUCGUCAAUGGUCCAACCUUGGAACAAUCCCAUGUGCCUUUCCGUCAGUGCCCGAUCAAUCACCAGCUGAAACAGCACAGAAGCCCAUUUAUUCGGAUGAUAUAUAGAACACGAAUUCGUGAAGCGAGAAAAAUUAGCACAUCAAAAAACGUUCAUACAUCAGAAUCAGAUACGCAGCAAUGCGCUGCGAUCGUUUGCGCAGUCUGGGAAGCACGCUUCAAGUCAGAGGAGUAGACGGCAGCUGGCUUGGCUUCUUCCGACAGACGACGGGCAACCUUGAGGGUUUGAACAAAAUCAGAAUCACGUACAUAAUCUCAAGUCAUGACGAUCUCACAAAGUAUGGCGUACCUUGGCAGCUUGCUGCCUACCAGUUUCGUUCAGCUCCUGAUCGAUCCGUCCCUGUUGAAACUUAAAAUAAGCCUUAACACAUGUUGUAUUGCAUCGCAGAGGGAGAAUCAUAUCUAAGUGAUGCGAUAAGUAGCAAGCUGUGACAGGACAGGAUGAACAAGAAGCGACCUGAAUGAUGCGGGAGACGUUCCAAUCCGUCUGUCCAUGGCGCACCAACACCACCUCCGCGAAGUGCUCGCCGUGCGUCGAUGCAGGUGCCAUGAUCGAUCGGCCGGCGUUACUGCUGCAGAGGGAAGGGGAGAUGGAUGGUCUGGAACCUCUCUGAUGCUGUAUGAUCUAGCUGCCCUGCAGAGGGAAGGGGCGACUUUAUGGAGGCCAGAGGCACAAGGGAGGAAACGCCGCGGCGAAGACCUGGGAUUUCCCUCGACAGCACCAGGAGGCCAUCUCCAUGUACGAUUGUUGCUUGGACUCCAAUGCAUCUCCAUGUACGCGACCACGGCGAAAAGGCCAUUUCCGUCGAGCGCACCUCCAUGCGACGGUGGCGGGGGGUUGACUAAAAAAUUAGAAACACGGUUUGAGCCACAACAGCCAUUCCAACAGCAGCUUCCGGAAGGCUCUGGAAGGCUCUGGAAUCACAAGCAUAAUUCGUGUACGUUUUGAAGAUGGAAAGAUGGCGACCUGCUAGUUGACUUCCAACAGCAGGUUUGGGCAACACGCCAUUCCAGCAGCAGGUUUGGGCAACGCCAUUCGAGGAUCGGCUUCUCCAGGAAGUACGUGGCCAACUAAUAUAACCUGCAGUUGGUCGGCGGACCAAAUUAAAGAAGCUAUCCACUUUCUUCUGCAUCAAGACCUCCUGUUAACCGGCCCCAUCCACUUUCUUCUCCAUCAAGACCUCCGGGGUCCUGCGCGGACCAUUGGCGCGGCCACGUCGCCCUGUUUUCCCGACGUCGGAUCGUGCGAUCCCGUAGGCAUGUGGAAUUUUGCAAAAAAAACCUUCAGUUCUCCGCUAAUCUACUUCGGGUUUAGGGAGGACCCUCGCCAACUGUAACCACGUUCAAUUUAUUUGCGGCACACCCCUUUGGUUAAAUAAUAUUUCAACAUCAAGAAGAGAAAAUUCCAAUUCUGCGUCGCUUUUGAAAAAAACCACCUGCCUAUCAUUUUGCGAAGAACCCCACCGCAACCUCGCAGCAACACACACUUGGCCCCAAGCCACCGCUCCCUCCCAAUUCUCUCCACAUCCCCCUCUCUCUAACCCUCCCGCCCUACCUGACGGCUGCCGCACACUUUAGUUGGCAUUGUUAGUGUCUUUUGAUGUUCUUAAUGCCUGCUACUGGUUCAGAUUUAUUUCUUUCCCCUUCUGUAUUUAACUAGGUUUGGUAGUAGCUUGUAGCCUUGCCUUUAUUCAACCCUAGCACCAGUAAAUGUAGGCCAUGGAGUUAUAAAAAAUUGAUAAACCAGCCACUUCAAUAAAUUGGUGUCUCCCAAUUCUAACUCUUGGUGCUUAUACCAAAAGCAAGCAUCGGACUGAAUAUUUCUGCAAAAAAUUAGCUUCAAGAUCGCUAUCUACGAUAUUUCGAUCAUUUGAUUUCUUUUCCUUUUCUUUUUUUUUGCGAAACACCAUUUGAUUUCUUGAUGGUGAUGAGUUAACUGUGUUGUGAGGUGAGAUAAUCCAUUGUCUCAAAUCAUUCCUGAUGUUGAGACCUUUAGUAAAAUGGCAUUUUGAGAAUAUUGUGGAUUGCUUUAAUUUUUACAGCUAGUGCUUGCAAACUCUGUAUGUGUCAUUCAGACAGCUUGAUUGCAUAUGACCUUCCUCAACAAUACAUUCAUUUUAUGACAUGCUUUUCAGGUUAGGUUGGAGAAAAAGAGGGCAAACUGAAGAUUGCGCUAAUGAAAACAAAUUUUCAGCUUAUGCUCCAAUAAUUUUCUAAAUCCUAUUAUCAUUAAUUAGUUUGAAGAAACGAUGGGAUCUGUAACCUGGUAAAGCUACCCAUUUAUAUGGAGACUCAAAAGACUUUCUAAUUUGCGCAGGUCAGCAGUGAUUAAAACAUUGCAUAAUUCUUUCUAUUUAUUACCAUGUAGUUUCAGCUUUUGUACCCGUUGAUUUGUCUAUGAAAUUAUGUGCACCGGAUUAAGGAAAGGUUAUGCCAAAAAUGGUGCUAGCUCAAUGACAACAAGACGUGAGCAAUAUAACCUAAUUAUCCAAUUUUGGUUGGUGGACAUGUGAUUUCCACCGUCGAAACUCCAAAAUUACAUUAAAAAUUGGGCCGGAGAAAUUAUUACACAGCUGUUUACCGCACUAAACAAUGAACUUUCGUGGCAAAAGAAAAUAAUAAAAUGAAGGGUCGUAGACAUGCCUGUUUCCAAUUUCUCUCUUGACAGGCCAACAGACCAACAUUGAUGAGAGGGCUACUUAGACUCCCUGAUACAUUUCUCCUAGGAGAGGCCUCGGAAUCUGCUGAAUGUCUAACUGAAGGACUCUAUAGAAUAAAAGAGAAUGUCUGUAAGUAAUAAUCAUCAAAUUUAUUUGUUGAAAGCCUGCAUCAAUCAUCAAUUACACUGCAUUGUGUUAACGGUAGGCCAUGUUAGCUAUUAUGUAUCCAAAAAGAUCAAAUUAAAUUUGAACCAGAGAAUCAAGAAAGAGAUGAAACAGAUGAAACGACCUACUAUGAGCCAAGAAAUUAUCUGUAUGUUUAAACUCUGAAUUAUCAAACAAUUCUAAAUUAAGCUGGUUUACAUAAAAGGAAAAGGUGUGUACUCCGUAUGAGCAUGGGCUUCCUAUUUUUAAGUUUUAAACCUGCUGAAUCAGAACGAUUUUAUGGCAUAGAGGUACUGAAUUACUGAUAAAGAAAACAUUGCAGAGAACAGUAACAUAUACACAAUGAAGGCGGAUCGCACAGAUGGUAGCAUGGCGCAGGGUAAGAAGAAGGCACGGAGCGGCGUUUUUUUUUAAAUUGAUUUAAUUUAGAAUAAAUACCACAGCAUUCUCACGUGGUACCUCUGCUGCUGCACAAAUUAUAGCAAAGACCGUCCGCCGCACGCGUACUGCUUCUACACAGUCCCGUGUCAUAGGCACACCGCACACACGUAUGGCUGCACUACAAAGCCGUUCCCCUGCCGAUGCAGAAGCAGCAAGCCAGCAUUAUUAGGGUAGAAUCAAACACUUUACACUUCAGGGUUACAUUCACAACUGCCUAUGAGCAGGCAUUUACAAGCAGCAGUGCAAUGCUUCAAAUUUCAGUGUGGUAUUGUUUACCCACAGAGGAAUUUCUAUACAAGUUCAUUAUCAUUGCACUGACAAGUGAGAGCAUUGUAGUAAUGGAAGAAUGGAGGCAUGUUCAAGCGUAUCAAGGACUCGAGGUAGCCGAUUGUAUUGCCGUACGAACAAGAGCAGAGCAGCAUGUUUUCUUGCCAUCGCCGCCAAAUGCACUCUGCAGAAAGCCAUCUUCAUUGAUGUGGCCGACGUCCCCGAGCUUCUCAAGGAUCCAAUGGCCGUUCUCACCGGAAAUAUGGAUCUCGCUGAUUGAAGUGUUGGGGAUUCUUCUGCGAACCAAUGUCGUCAUUGGAUUGGCGUGCCUGCAGAUUUCCUCUAUGGUGGCGCCAUGGGAGACCACAACCACACGCUCCCCUGCGAAUGCAACAUGUCAGCGCAACAGCGUAAAUAACGGUUCCAGUUUGGAGUUUGGAGUUGAUGAAGAAUUGGCAGCCAUAGUUAUGCAUCAUCAGGUGCAGGUUUUGACGGAGCUAGUAGCACUACUGUAAAUUGGACCUAGGUUUUAUCUGCUGCAUUGUACUGAAUACAGAUAGCACGAAGGAAUUGAGAAGCUAAAGAGUAAUCUGAAUCAGAUCAUUGCUUACCCUUGUGCUUGUCAGCUAUCAUGUUCAAGUAGGAAACACGGCGCUUGGAAAGUUGAUCAAGACUCUCCCCACCACCCUACCAAAAAAAUGAACGGAUUAGAUAACUAGUAUACAGCAACCAGAAGGAAAAAUGACUGUCACUGAUUCAGAAGGAUUCAAGGUAGCUUUGGGAGGAGAAUGGAAGUUAGUUACAGGAAUUUCUUGGUUUCGGUCAUCUGAUGAGAAAGCCUUUUUAUCGCCCAACAGCAGCAAUGCGUCAACCACAGUGUUAUAAAUCUGCACAUUGGGGGGCAAUCCUCUCACCCUCAUCUCCCCAAGCAAACUCCCAAUCGUCUCCAGAUCACCUUUCCUCCCGAGCCAGUUAACAAUAGAACCAUAUGUCACCACAGUUGGCAAAAAUCCUUUCGUGUCCAUAUCGCCCAACAAAAGCAAUGCCUUCCCAAUGUCCCCGCGCCGGCACAUUGUAGAACACGGCGUGCGGAAUGCACUCAGCUCCCCACCUCGCCUCAAUCAGCUUCAUCCCCUCCUCCACCCGCCCUUCCAAGCACAUCCCUCUGACCAUCGCGCAGGUGCUGUAGUUAUCCGCGCCGCCCUCCUCCGCAAGCAUUUCGUCAUACAGCUUCCGGGCAUCCUCCCAUCGCAGGCGCUCCACGAGAAGCCUGAGCAGGCGGUUGCAGUGCCUCGCCUCCGGGAGCGUGCUGUGCAUCUCCCUGGCGCGAGCGCACGUCUCGGCGGCCUUCCCUUCCAUCCCGGCGUCCGCGGGAGCGGGGUGAUGCGGGGCAGGAGCGGCGGCCGCGGCGCGAGGUGUGGGAGCGUUUAGAGAAAAAGGAAAGAAAGAAAGAAGAAUGGCUAGUUCAGUUGCUCGGUCCACAUUGGAACUGCUGCUUCUUCUCCUUGGUAGUGCUUCUGCUAACUUUCCAAAAAAAAAAUACUUCACUGAAAAUAAAAUAAAAGUUCACUGACAAAUGAGAGCAUUGUAGCCAUGAAGGAACGAAUUUACUAUAUGAUACGGUAGUGUUUCUAUUAACUUUCAAAAAAAAUACAUUUCACAAAUUACAGGGUGAUUGACUAAAAAUAGAAGUUCUCACGGACAAAUGAGCUACAAUGGAGGAAGGAAUGAAGGCAUCACCUAUGCUUUAACAGUCUGUAUGAACAUGAGCAGCAUAUUUUCGGUUACAAUGUACUCUGCGGGAAGCCAUCUCCGAUGAGGUGUCCGGCGUCCCCGAACUUCUCCAGGAUCCAGCGGCCAUCGGAACCGGAGAUAUGGACAACGCUGAUUGAGGUGUUAGGAAUUUUCCUGCCAACCGAGAUCGUUGGAUCGGCGUGCCUGCAGAUUUCCUCUAUGACUGCCUCAUGGGAGACGACGACCACCCGCUCACC
RNAcentral lists this long non-coding RNA (6165 nucleotides) under Setaria italica (foxtail millet). RNAcentral describes it as "long non-coding RNA (SITA_LNC005595)". Lineage: Eukaryota; Viridiplantae; Streptophyta; Magnoliopsida; Poales; Poaceae. The record is from RNAcentral.